AAGGUGUCACACAACAAACAUCCCAUGAUGUGUAAAAGCAAAGAGCUCUCUCUCAAGGUCUUUGCAACCUUAAUAUUGCAAAACAUACUGAUGGCAUCGGUUACAGAAGGAUUUCAAAGUUUCUGAAUGUUGCAAUGCAGCAUAAUCUGAAAUUAG
Long non-coding RNA from Thalassophryne amazonica, 156 nucleotides. RefSeq lists it as uncharacterized. Lineage: Eukaryota; Metazoa; Chordata; Actinopteri; Batrachoidiformes; Batrachoididae. The transcript has 4 exons. The record is from RefSeq and is a predicted model, not a curated record.